UUUUGUAAAUGCUCGUGAUGAGACCUCA
Molecule: ribosomal RNA, 28 nt
Filed under: Trigonella calliceras
Lineage: Eukaryota; Viridiplantae; Streptophyta; Magnoliopsida; Fabales; Fabaceae
Also listed under: 1 other name
Description: partial 28S ribosomal RNA
Source: RNAcentral